AUACGAAGGUGGCAAGCGUUGUUCGGAUUUACUGGGCGUAAAGAGAGCGUAGGCGGUUUGGUAAGCCCUGUGGGAAAUCUUCCGGCUCAACCGGGAAAGGUCGCGGGGGACUGCCAGGCUAGAGGGCGGGAGAGGAGCGCGGAAUUCCCGGUGUAGCGGUGAAAUGCGUAGAGAUCAGGAGGAAGGCCGGUGGCGAAGGCGGCGCUCUGGAACGAUCCUGACGCUGAGGCUCGAAAGCGUGGGGAGCAAACAGGAUUAGAAACCCCAGUAGUCC
RNAcentral lists this ribosomal RNA (274 nucleotides) under uncultured bacterium. Its description in RNAcentral is "partial 16S ribosomal RNA". It matches the Rfam family "Bacterial small subunit ribosomal RNA", at positions 523 to 796 of the family's 1533-position model. The record is from RNAcentral.